AGAGCCUGAAUCAGCAUGUGUGUUAGUGGAAGCGUCUGGAAAGGCGCGCGAUACAGGGUGACAGCCCCGUACACAAAAGCGCAUGUGCUGUGAGCUCGAUGAGUAGGGCGGGACACGUGGUAUCCUGUCUGAAUAUGGGGGGACCAUCCUCCAAGGCUAAAUACUCCUGACUGACCGAUAGUGAACCAGUACCGUGAGGGAAAGGCGAAAAGAACCCCGGCGAGGGGAGUGAAAAAGAACCUGAAACCGUGUACGUACAAGCAGUGGGAGCACCCUUCGGGGUGUGACUGCGUACCUUUUGUAUAAUGGGUCAGCGACUUAUAUUCUGUAGCAAGGUUAACCGUAUAGGGGAGCCGGAGGGAAACCGAGUCUUAACCGGGCGUUAAGUUGCAGGGUAUAGACCCGAAACCCGGUGAUCUAGCCAUGGGCAGGUUGAAGGUUGGGUAACACUAACUGGAGGACCGAACCGACUAAUGUUGAAAAAUUAGCGGAUGACCUGUGGCUGGGGGUGAAAGGCCAAUCAAACCGGGAGAUAGCUGGUUCUCCCCGAAAGCUAUUUAGGUAGCGCCUCGUGAAUUCAUCUCCGGGGGUAGAGCACUGUUUCGGCUAGGGGGCCAUCCCGGCUUACCAACCCGAUGCAAACUGCGAAUACCGGAGAAUGUUAUCACGGGAGACACACGGCGGGUGCUAACGUCCGUCGUGAAGAGGGAAACAACCCAGACCGCCAGCUAAGGUCCCAAAGUCAUGGUUAAGUGGGAAACGAUGUGGGAAGGCCCAGACAGCCAGGAUGUUGGCUUAGAAGCAGCCAUCAUUUAAAGAAAGCGUAAUAGCUCACUGGUCGAGUCGGCCUGCGCGGAAGAUGUAACGGGGCUAAACCAUGCACCGAAGCUGCGGCAGCGAACGUAUCACCCAAGACAACUUUACGGAGUUGACGAUUGACGGAGCGAAGCGACGUCAAAGCGUUCAUUAAAGUCGAGUUGGCUUAGGGAUACGUUCGUUGGGUAGGGGAGCGUUCUGUAAGCCUGUGAAGGUGUGUCGUGAGGCAUGCUGGAGGUAUCAGAAGUGCGAAUGCUGACAUAAGUAACGAUAAAGCGGGUGAAAAGCCCGCUCGCCGGAAGACCAAGGGUUCCUGUCCAACGUUAAUCGGGGCAGGGUGAGUCGACCCCUAAGGCGAGGCCGAAAGGCGUAGUCGAUGGGAAACGGGUUAAUAUUCCCGUACUUGGUGUUACUGCGAAGGGGGGACGGAGAAGGCUAUGUUGGCCGGGCGACGGUUGUCCCGGUUUAAGCGUGUAGGUGUGUGUUCCAGGUAAAUCCGGUUCACUUUAACACUGAGGCGUGACGACGAGGCACUACGGUGCUGAAGCAACAAAUGCCCUGCUUCCAGGAAAAGCCUCUAAGCAUCAGGUAACACGAAAUCGUACCCCAAACCGACACAGGUGGUCAGGUAGAGAAUACCAAGGCGCUUGAGAGAACUCGGGUGAAGGAACUAGGCAAAAUGGUGCCGUAACUUCGGGAGAAGGCACGCUGACACGUAGGUGAAGUGAUUUACUCAUGGAGCUGAAGUCAGUCGAAGAUACCAGCUGGCUGCAACUGUUUAUUAAAAACACAGCACUGUGCAAACACGAAAGUGGACGUAUACGGUGUGACGCCUGCCCGGUGCCGGAA
RNAcentral lists this ribosomal RNA (1665 nucleotides) under Salmonella enterica subsp. enterica serovar Typhimurium. RNAcentral describes it as "partial 23S ribosomal RNA". It matches the Rfam family "Bacterial large subunit ribosomal RNA", at positions 305 to 1874 of the family's 2925-position model. Lineage: Bacteria; Pseudomonadati; Pseudomonadota; Gammaproteobacteria; Enterobacterales; Enterobacteriaceae. The record is from RNAcentral.